Molecule: ribosomal RNA, 433 nt
Filed under: uncultured bacterium
Lineage: Bacteria
Description: partial 16S ribosomal RNA
Rfam family: Bacterial small subunit ribosomal RNA
Source: RNAcentral
AACGAACGCUGGCGGCAUGCCUAACACAUGCAAGUCGAACGAACCCUUCGGGUCUAGUGGCGCACGGGUGCGUAACGCGUGGGAACCUGCCCUUAGGUUCGGAAUAACUCACCGAAAGGGGUGCUAAUACCGGAUAAUCUCUUCGGGGCAAAGAUUUAUCGCCUUUGGAUGGGCCCGCGUUUGAUUAGCUAGUUGGUAGGGUAAAAGCCUACCAAGGCGACGAUCCGUAGCUGGUCUGAGAGGAUGACCAGCCACACUGGGACUGAGACACGGCCCAGACUCCUACGGGAGGCAGCAGUGGGGAAUCUUGCGCAAUGGGCGAAAGCCUGACGCAGCCAUGCCGCGUGAAUGAUGAAGGUCUUAGGAUUGUAAAAUUCUUUCACCGGGGACGAUAAUGACGGUACCCGGAGAAGAAGCCCCGGCUAACUUCGUG